AGCAGCCGCGGUAAUUCCAGCUCCAAUAGCGUAUAUUAAAGUUGUUGCAGUUAAAAAGCUCGUAGUUGAAUUUCGGAAUUUGUCGGUUGGUCGGGCUUCACUGUCCGCACUGACCUGAUGGAUUCCUACCUUCUGAAUAACCAGCAUGCUAUUAAGUUAGUGCGUUGGGGAAGCAGAGCUAUUACCUUGAAAAAUUAGAGUGCUUAAAGCAGGCUUGUGCUUGAAUAGAUUAGCAUGGAAUAAUAAAAUAGGACGGCAUGGUUCUAUUUUGUUGGUUUCUAGGAUCACCGUAAUGAUUAAUAGGGAUAGUUGGGGGCAUUAGUAUUCAAUUGUCAGAGGUGAAAUUCUUGGAUUUAUUGAAGACUAACUUCUGCGAAAGCAUUUGCCAAGGAUGUUUUCAUUAAUCAAGAACGAAAGUUAGGGGAUCGAAGACGAUCAGAUACCGUCGUA
Molecule: ribosomal RNA, 450 nt
Filed under: uncultured Glomeromycotina
Lineage: Eukaryota; Fungi; Glomeromycota
Description: SSU rRNA
Rfam family: Eukaryotic small subunit ribosomal RNA
Source: RNAcentral